This 484-nucleotide ribosomal RNA is filed under the name uncultured bacterium. RNAcentral describes it as "partial 16S ribosomal RNA". It matches the Rfam family "Bacterial small subunit ribosomal RNA", at positions 29 to 523 of the family's 1533-position model. The record is from RNAcentral.
AGUGAACGCUGGCGGCGUGCUUAACACAUGCAAGUCGAACGAGAACGGAUUAUAGCUUGCUAUAAUUGUCAGCUAAGUGGCGCACGGGUGAGUAAUGUAUAGGUAAUAUGCCUCUUACUAAGGGAUAACAAAUGGAAACGUUUGCUAAUACCUUAUACUCCUUAUUAACAGAAGUUAAUAAGGGAAAGAUUUAUUGGGAAGAGAUUAGCCUUUAUUGUAUUAGUUAGUUGGUGGGGUAAUGGCUUACCAAGACUAUGACACAUAACUUGUUUGAGAGGAUGAUCAGUCACACUGGAACUGAGACACGGUCCAGACUACUACGGGAGGCAGCAGUGGCGAAUAUUGCACAAUGGACGAAAGACUGAUGCAGCAACGCCGCGUGGAGGAUGACACAUUUCGGUGCGUAAACUCCUUUUAUAUGAGAAGAUAAUGACGGUAUUAUAUGAAUAAGCACCGGCUAACUCCGUGCCAGCAGCCGCAGUAA